Molecule: long non-coding RNA, 1525 nt
Organism: Xenopus laevis (African clawed frog)
Lineage: Eukaryota; Metazoa; Chordata; Amphibia; Anura; Pipidae
Exons: 6
Source: RefSeq, a predicted model, not a curated record
AUAAGAGACUGUUAGAAGCAGCAAAUAAAUGGCAAUGCAUAAACUACAGAUCCCAUAAUGCACUGUGAGGUCUUUACCCACUAUAAGGCUAUUACUGGAAGUGAGGGAGCCUGACUGCUGUUGCGUGUGCUAUUUAGCUGACAAAAAUGUUGGGCAACCAGGCUGUAGACUUUUAUCACUGGCAUGUGGAAAGGGCCUUCAUCUCCCAUGAUGCACUAUAAGGGUUGACCAUAAGAGCCUCUCUGAACCGUCCCCCACUCUAGUGCUGAGGCCACUGACUGUCGCUACGAUGAGUGUGACCGUUGGCAAAUGACCGUUGGCAAAUGACAGUUGGAAAAUGACCGUUGGCAUUUACAGCAGAGGCAGAGAAAAUUGUCUAAUGGUUCAGAAAAAACUACAAAAACAAAUGAAGGAGUAUGACAGAAGGCGACCACUCCAGCACCAACGGGAGGAAAGGAAAAAAGAAUGAGAUCCUGAUAACCCGGCACAGCUCUCUCCAGAGCCAAUUGAGCAGAUUUCUUUUCUGAAGGGGCUGGUGUCAGAUCUUCAUAGAUCCAUUGGGGUAUCUGUCCCAUCACUGGGCCCUAUGAAGAUCACCAGGCUACAUGAAUUUUCUACAGGGACAGACAAUAUUUCCAUUCUCUCUCCCCUCCGUGUAGGCUCCAGUUCUGACACUCUAAUAUAUGGGGCCCAAAAUAAUGUCCUGAAUGGGUCCCGUUGGGCAGACCCAUAUCCAACCCAGACCAACUAACUCAGAACCUGACCCUCUACUGAGCACCCUGUCCCUCCUGCUGAUACCUACCUGCUCUGCCUUAACUUCGGCUCAACCCAGGACCCACCCAAACUGGAAGUGACAUCACAUGUGGCUGAACAUGACGUCAUUAGGGAGGUGGAUCAACCAGGACAGGAAAAAGGUUAGUUUUAACUUUGGGAGUUGGGGGAAAUGGAGCCUACGAUCAGCCUGAGUAACCCAGGCAGGGAACCCACGGACCACCCACAUAAUCAGGGACUUGGGGUCUUUCUGCCAAAAACCUGACCAGUUUGCGGCUAUUCCAUGGGUGCCUGACCUGAUGCAGGACUCUCCCUUAUGGGCCCCUAUUAUUAGUACCAUUGUGCCCCAUUAUUUACAGGCACCUUUAUGUAUGUUUGCUCACAUGGAGGUGCAAGGGGACAGGAUUAGUGGGGUUGCUCCCCAGGCUUUUGUGCUUCAUUCUGUCCUGUAUGUGAUGUAUCAGACGUGUCCCUGUUUAAUUGGGUGACAGACAUAAGGCAGGAUCCAGUGUCCUACUGUACAUCUUAAUGGACUCACUGAUGGACACAACAAGUGCCAUAUACUCCACUACUUGUGUCAAUCUUUGGUUUUACUGAUCUUUAUUAAGUCUGGCUGUGAGGCCCCACCUUGUCUCCAGCGUCUCAUUCAUAUUUAAUAGUGUUUUCCAGCACUCCCUGUAUAUACACCUGUCUCUCUCUCUCUCUGUGUGUGACAGUCACUCACUAUAUACACCUGUCUCUCUCCCUGUGUGAC